AUGGACGGAGAUCGACGGUUGCCGCCGGCUGCCACGCUCGCAUCGGCGGCGGCGGUGCUUGGCAACAACGACCUCCUGCGCGAGAUCCUCCUCCGCCUCGGCUUCCCCACCUGCCUCGUCCAUGCCGCCCUCGUCUCCAAGCGGUGGCUCCACCACGCCUCCAACCCGGCCUUCCUCCGCCACUUCCGUGAGCGCAACCCACCCCGCGUCCUCGGCGUUUUCGCCUGCUACCCCGGAACACCGUACAAGUUCCUGCCGCUUCUACAGCCCCCGGAGCUCGCCGCCCUCUCACGCCGUGCGGCCUCCUCCUUCGACGGCGCCUUCACCGCCAACACAUACCAGCGUGUCGUGCACUGCCGGAACAGCCGCCUCAUCACCGUGUUCUUGCACGAGGGAACAUACAGGCACUCCCUCCUCGAGCCGCUGCUCGCUGGGGAGUCCGAAGCGGUCCUCCCACAGACCCCGCUGCCCCGCCAUCUCCCGCCGGCUCAUACACAAGGGGUAUUCUCUCAGACUUUCCUGCCCGAGGAUGGGGGCCGCGACGGCAUCACCUUGGUGAGUCUGUGGAAGGUCUGGAGAGAAGUCCGUGCGGAAGUGUGCGUGCUGGGAUCUGGCGGAUGGGGCGUCCCUACCACCGCCGUGACAGAGGUAGAUCUCCCGUAUGCUGAAACCAACUUUAUAGAAAUGCUACCACCCGUCCAUGGCAAGGUCUUCAUGGUGACCGGCUUUGGGUACACCCUGGGUCUAGAUUUGGCCACGUCAAACUUCUUCACCCUUGAGCUACCAGUUGGAGUGCGGAGCAACUAUAUGCUUUCAUGUGCGGAGGGUUCCGGGAUCUAUCUUUUCAGUGCAGAUGGGUUUCAUCUCAGUGUGUGGCUCCAUGGGAUGAUGGGCAACAGCGAUGGUGCAGGCGGCUGGCUGCUGGUGGACACAUUUUGUGUCCGAUGUUCUGCUGGUCACGAUUGGGUUUGGAUGGCACAAGAUGGUGAUUUUCUUGGUGUUGCUGCAGUCGAGGACAAUGCUGAGUUUGUAUUCUUGGAUUAUGCGAGAUAUGGUGUUGUCCUCUAUGUUCAUCUGAGAAGCAGGGUAGUUGAGAAGGUGCACGAGCAGGCACUGCUUAAUCAUCAUUUUAUUCGUCCGGACCACAUACAUAUAUCUUCCUUUAUGAUGAUCUGGCCACCUAUUUUUCCUGCAUUGAACGGGCGACAUGAUCAAAAGUAA
Molecule: ribosomal RNA, 1221 nt
Filed under: Triticum aestivum (bread wheat)
Lineage: Eukaryota; Viridiplantae; Streptophyta; Magnoliopsida; Poales; Poaceae
Description: partial small subunit ribosomal RNA
Source: RNAcentral